Molecule: RNase P RNA, 329 nt
Filed under: bovine gut metagenome
Description: Bacterial RNase P class B
Rfam family: Bacterial RNase P class B
About the family: Ribonuclease P (RNase P) is a ubiquitous endoribonuclease, found in archaea, bacteria and eukarya as well as chloroplasts and mitochondria. Its best characterised activity is the generation of mature 5'-ends of tRNAs by cleaving the 5'-leader elements of precursor-tRNAs.
Source: RNAcentral
GACAAACGCUGUAUGAAGAAUAUAGAGGAAAGUCCAUGCUCACAAAAUCUGCGAUGAUUUUAGUGUUUGUGCUAGGGGAAAAAAUAACCCUAGGUAGCUUCGGCUAACGGCAACGAAAUGACCUAAGUUCUUAUGAAUAUGGUUAAAGUAGUUAUAAAAGUGCUAUAGUGAUGAAGAAUCUGGAAACGGAGGAAGUGGAACAGAGUAAACCCCGCAAGUGAGAAACCCAAAUUUUGGUAGGGGAGUUCUAAAGAGGGAAUUGAACUGAUUUAGGAAUCGUAAGAUAGAUAGAUGUUUGUCACCCAAGUGGUACAGAACAUGGCUUAUAA